This 1275-nucleotide long non-coding RNA is filed under the name Dromaius novaehollandiae (emu). Its description in RNAcentral is "lncRNA (ENSDNVG00000000292.1)". The record is from RNAcentral. Lineage: Eukaryota; Metazoa; Chordata; Aves; Casuariiformes; Dromaiidae.
GGAAACUGGAGUCGUUUUGGCACACUGGGCAUCAGUCAGCUGCUUGCGUUUCUCUGCAUUCCCGGUGCCCGCGGUGCUGCCCUGCAGGGAUCCYGCAAAGCUGCCUGCCUGUCUGCUGCUUUUCCAGCCUGGAGCUGGGCUGCAGGAGGGGAGGCCGCCCUGCCUCUCGCGCCGGAUGGAGCAGGAGCCAGCGAGCAGCUGGAUCGGUCCUUCCCCCCGCCGACCUCUCGGGCACCGGACUUCUUCCCUCGUGCACUGCUGUAUUUGGCAAGGUCUGAAAAUAAAGCAGAAAGAUUCGGAGGCGGGCUGCUUUGGGGCUGCUUUGUCCUUUUGAGGCCGCCAGGUCCUGCUCCGAGCACGGCGGCGCUUUGGGGAGAGCCCAGCCGGCAGCAUCACCCCAAGGAGCACAAACCCCACAGAGCAGCAAGAGGAGGGCGGCCGACACCACGUGGCAUCCCACUCCGGGGUGAAACCGGUCACCAGGCAGCAGGAGCMAUGGAGGAGUGCCGCCUCUCUCCCAUCCACACCCGGCAGGCUCGCGAUGCUGCCGGCUCUGCCCCGCUCCCGAGGCGGGACAUCCCACGCUGGGCGACGGAUCCCCGGCACGCUGGAGCGAUCCUCGCUGGCCGGGCGCUGCCGGCUCCCCCCGCCCCCACAGCGCUGGGGCCUCACAGCUCCAACCAGGAAACUAUAAAACUUUACAGAGUGCGGCUGGAGAGAAGCAGGAAUUGCUCCGGUAACUGCCAGAAGGGCCAGCGUUCGAUUCACGAGAUUUUCCAGGGCUGGGGCUCGCCAGGAAGGGAUUUAUCCAUCUAGGAGGAGCUGUAAAAACUAAAAUUAAAUUCUUCAUCUUGGAAGGGUGGGGGGGAGGGAAAAAAACCCCAAAUCCUCCCCAAAUGCUCUGCGGGAGGCCAGGGAUGUGGGGUGCCGGCAGGUGCAGCUGCCGGCUCCCUUGUCAUGGGGCCCCGGCGUCCCCCAGCCACGAGUGCUGCCGGCUGCCUGCGUGCCGCAUGCCCCAGCAGCGAGGAGGGUGCAGGGCAGUCCGUUUCUCCCAUUUAUUGUCCCUCCCCCGGCUGAUGUUGGGAAAACAGGUUUUCCCCACUGCCUUGCUCCUCCCUGUCCUGCGUGCCGCCGGCGGAGGUGGCGGGCAGGGGCAUGCCAGGGUCACCCGGCYGCAGCACCCAUGGGAGAAAAGCCUCCUGUGGUCCUUCAUGUCUUCUCGCGUUUUUUUCUGACGUAAAUGUGCAUAAAGAUGCAAAGAGUCACCCUGCCAGC